Long non-coding RNA from Mauremys mutica (yellowpond turtle), 1073 nucleotides. RefSeq lists it as uncharacterized. Lineage: Eukaryota; Metazoa; Chordata; Testudines; Geoemydidae. The record is from RefSeq and is a predicted model, not a curated record. The transcript has 6 exons.
AGGAACUCGAAGUGUAUGCCAAACUAUGGAUAAACACGAUCUUCAUUUCCUUUAUAGCUAACAAAGUGACGUGCUAUGGUCCUGCUGGCUCCAUUAUCAGGUUUGAAAUUCCCUUCCAGCACAAGUCAAGAAGAGUGUAAGAGAGGAUUUUAUAUAUGUAUAUGCAGAGAGAGAGAGUUCAAACUGACUUAAGAAAAGACAAGGUGUUCCUCCACAUCCCCUUCAGGGCUCUGAAGGUUCUUUUUCUCUCCCCCUCUUCCCCCUCCACCCUUAUUUAGACCACUCUUCAUUCCAUAUUCAGUGGCCCACAUCAGAGCCAUCAGCUUUCUGGCUGAGAAGGUACAGACAGGACCCCUUUUGAAGUCUCUCAACUUCAUUUCUCAGUCCGUUGAAUGAAAGAAUGAGAAGACAUAGGAUAACAUAAUGGAAUGGAACUGAGGCCAGACAGUUUCAAAGUGAUUUAAAGUCAGGAAUAGCCGACAUUUGGUGACCUUCUGGGCAUUCUGCAAAAGGCACCUUUUGACUGGAUUUUGAAGAAGACUGAGGGUAUGCUGCCUAGACAAUAAAGGAGCAGAAAGGAGUGUUGAUCAAGACAGCAACGCUGAGGAUAAGAACAAUGUGUAUCACCAGAGGGGAAAAAUAAUAAAAAAAAAAAGAAUAAGAUCAAGUGAAACCUCCUCUGUCUCUUCAUCAUGGGGCUGCUACUUUCUCUCCAUAUAUAAGAGAAUACUGUGUUUCUUGUAAUAUCUCACCUGGACUCAUUCUACCAAAAUUCAGUUUGCUUAUUUCCAGGACACACUAGAGUCAGUAACAUGCCAGGAUGUUUUACAUUGUACACUACAUUUCUGGCAGAAGAGAGAUGGGGAACAGAUAAAAUUGCUCCACAGAGUUCCCAGUUUUUUCUGGAGAAUGCUUCUGAAAACAGAAGAGGCUCUUAAGCCUGACAAGACAUUUAGUGUAAGCAAUUUGCAUCCUAUAUCCCCUAAGAAAAGGCGGAAGACAGAAAAGCUCCAACAGAUAAUAUCACAGGCAAGGUUUGUUGAUGAUACUGAACUGGAAGACUCAUUAACUAA